UCAGACUUGGUGUAAGGGGAACACCGCCUCCUAUACUGGGGAGUGGUAAAUCAAAAUUGAGAGGCAGUCCAGGGUUCGAAUCCCUGUGUCUGAA
Non-coding RNA from Mycena vulgaris, 94 nucleotides. NCBI's taxonomy places the organism in Eukaryota, Fungi, Basidiomycota, Agaricomycetes, Agaricales, Mycenaceae. The record is from the annotation of a GenBank genome assembly.